GUCUCAGUUCGGACUNUAGGCUGCAACUCGCCUACACGAAGUUGGAAUUGCUAGUAAUCGUGGAUCAGCAUGCCACGGUGAAUACGUUCCCGGGCCUUGUACACACCGCCCGUCACACCAUGAGAGUCGGGAACACCCGAAGUCCGUAGUCUAACCGCAAGGGGGGCGCGGCCGAAGGUGGGUCCGGUAAUUGGGGUGAAGUCGUAACAAGGUACC
Molecule: ribosomal RNA, 216 nt
Filed under: uncultured bacterium
Lineage: Bacteria
Description: partial 16S ribosomal RNA
Rfam family: Bacterial small subunit ribosomal RNA
Source: RNAcentral